RNAcentral lists this ribosomal RNA (1332 nucleotides) under uncultured bacterium. RNAcentral describes it as "bacterial SSU rRNA". It matches the Rfam family "Bacterial small subunit ribosomal RNA", at positions 28 to 1381 of the family's 1533-position model. The record is from RNAcentral.
GACGAACGCUGGCGGCGCGCCUAACACAUGCAAGUCGAACGAGAGAUGAGGAGCUUGCUCUUCAAAUCGAGUGGCGAACGGGUGAGUAACGCGUGAGGAACCUGCCUCAAAGAGGGGGACAACAGUUGGAAACGACUGCUAAUACCGCAUAAGCCCACGGCUCGGCAUCGAGCAGAGGGAAAAGGAGCAAUCCGCUUUGAGAUGGCCUCGCGUCCGAUUAGCUAGUUGGUGAGGUAACGGCCCACCAAGGCGACGAUCGGUAGCCGGACUGAGAGGUUGAACGGCCACAUUGGGACUGAGACACGGCCCAGACUCCUACGGGAGGCAGCAGUGGGGAAUAUUGCACAAUGGGGGAAACCCUGAUGCAGCGACGCCGCGUGGAGGAAGAAGGUCUUCGGAUUGUAAACUCCUGUUGUUGAGGAAGAUAAUGACGGUACUCAACAAGGAAGUGACGGCUAACUACGUGCCAGCAGCCGCGGUAAAACGUAGGUCACAAGCGUUGUCCGGAAUUACUGGGUGUAAAGGGAGCGCAGGCGGGAGAACAAGUUGGAAGUGAAAUCCAUGGGCUCAACCCAUGAACUGCUUUCAAAACUGUUUUUCUUGAGUAGUGCAGAGGUAGGCGGAAUUCCCGGUGUAGCGGUGGAAUGCGUAGAUAUCGGGAGGAACACCAGUGGCGAAGGCGGCCUACUGGGCACCAACUGACGCUGAGGCUCGAAAGUGUGGGUAGCAAACAGGAUUAGAUACCCUGGUAGUCCACACCGUAAACGAUGAUUACUAGGUGUUGGAGGAUUGACCCCUUCAGUGCCGCAGUUAACACAAUAAGUAAUCCACCUGGGGAGUACGACCGCAAGGUUGAAACUCAAAGGAAUUGACGGGGGCCCGCACAAGCAGUGGAGUAUGUGGUUUAAUUCGACGCAACGCGAAGAACCUUACCAAGUCUCGACAUCCCUUGACGAUGCUGGAAACAGUAUUUCUCUUCGGAGCAAGGAGACAGGUGGUGCAUGGUUGUCGUCAGCUCGUGUCGUGAGAUGUUGGGUUAAGUCCCGCAACGAGCGCAACCCUUAUGGUCAGUUACUACGCAAGAGGACUCUGGCCAGACUGCCGUUGACAAAACGGAGGAAGGUGGGGAUGACGUCAAAUCAUCAUGCCCUUUAUGACUUGGGCUACACACGUACUACAAUGGCGUUAAACAAAGAGAAGCAAGACCGCGAGGUGGAGCAAAACUCAGAAACAACGUCCCAGUUCGGACUGCAGGCUGCAACUCGCCUGCACGAAGUCGGAAUUGCUAGUAAUCGUGGAUCAGCAUGCCACGGUGAAUACGUUUCCGGGCCU